Molecule: long non-coding RNA, 1822 nt
Filed under: Sus scrofa (pig)
Lineage: Eukaryota; Metazoa; Chordata; Mammalia; Artiodactyla; Suidae
Description: lncRNA (ENSSSCG00015004147.1)
Source: RNAcentral
CGACCAAGCUCGGAGCACGAGCCUGCGUUUUAACCGCCCCCGCCUCCCUUUCCCGCCGAUCAAGGGUGGGUGGGGGUGUGUGGGCGUGGGUAGGUUAAGACGCAUGCGUGGUGGAGUUCCCGGGCGACGCGGGAAGCAACGGUUGGGCUGAGGGGAGACUAUUGGACCCCCUGGGCUCAUUCGCGACGCAUCUGCUACGGAUCCCUCAGAACAUCCCCUGGACUCUGCCUCCUCUCCAAAAUAGAGCCCAGAUCCACCCGUUCUCCCCAGAAAGGCUUUCACUGCCUGAGGCCAUAUCAUCCUCAUCUCUAUCCUGGAAGACUGAACAGCAUCUUCUCUCUCUGCUCUCUUUCAUUUUUAGGAAAUAAGCAACACGCAGAGGAAUCUUUUAAAAAAUAUGAGUUAUCCUGCUGGGUAGCAUUGAGAACUAUGUCUAGAUACUCAUGUUGCAACAGAACGAAGGGUGGGGAAAAAAAUGUAUACAUGUAAGGAUAACUUGAUCCCCUUGCUGUACAGUGGGGGGAAAAAAUGUUAGAUCAAGAGCACAUCUUUCCUCAAUGCUUCCAAAACACUUUCCGCUGAACUUGGAAUACAUUCUAAAUCUCUCAUUUAGGCUUACAAAGCCCCCCUGUUUUCUGCUGCCAUGCGCUCCCUUGCUCAUUUGCAGUUCUGACACAUGGAUCUUUCUGUGUUUGGGAGCUUACCAAACUCAGGAUCUUUGCACUUAAGAGUGAUCCCUCUGCUUGGGACUUUGUGUCACAUGUCUUUGGUUUAAGGCCCGACAGUCCUUGCGCCACCUCUGGCUUGUAAGCUAAGGGUAGUUUUUUACAUUUUGGAUUUUUUUUUGGGGGGGGGGGGGUUGGCUGUGCCCUUGGCACACAAGUUCCUGGGCCAGGGAUUAAACCUGCACCAUAGCAGUGACCAGCACCAUAGCAGUGACAACGUCAGAUCCUUAACUGUUAGGCCACCCCGGAACUCCUGGUUUUUAUGCUUUUAAUUUUGGGGAGAAAGUCAAAAGAAGAAUAAUGGCUCAUGACAUGUGAACACUGUAUACAAUUUAAAUUUCAGUGUCCAUAAAUUUAAGUUUAUUUGAAAACAGCCAUACUAAUUUACAAAAUGCCUAUGGCUGUUUUUGAGCUACAACAUCAGAGUUGAGUUUUUUUUUUAACUUUUUGUCUUUUUAGGGCCGCCCCCACGGCAUAUGGAGGUUCCCAGGCUAGGAGUUGAAUCGGAGCUGCAACUGCCGGCCUACACCACAGCCACAGCAACGAGGGAUCCGAGCCAUGUCUGCAACCUACACCACAGCUUGAGGCAACGCUGGAUCCUUAACCCACUGAGCAAGGCCAGGGGUCAAACCUGGGUCCUCAUGGACACUAGUCAGGUUUGUUAAUCACUGAGCAGUGACGGGAACUCUUAGUUGAGUCCUUUUAACAGACUGUCAACAAACUUAAAAUAUUUACUCUGGAUUUUUAUAGGAAUUUGCCAACUUCUAAGACAUAUAUUUAUGUGGUUGUCUUAUACAUUUCUAUAUAAUCAGUGGGGUAUGGUGAGUGUUUAACAGCUGCUUCUCUGGGGGCGGAAUGUGUUUCUGUCUGUCUGUUUUGGUUUGGUUUUUUUGGCUGCACGUGUGACAGAAGUUCCCCAGCCAGGGUUCAAACUGUAGCCACAGCAGUUAACAAUGCUGGAUCCUUAACCUGCUGCGCUGCAAGAGAACCCGUCUGUCUGUAUUUGUAGUGUGCCUUUAUAUGUAUAAUUUAUUGUAAAUUUUACUAUUUUCCCAUCACUUUCUUAAGUCUCAAAGACAAUAAAACAAGAAAUUGGA